UGCCCAAGAGAUCGGGAUAACACCUGGAAACAGAUGCUAAUACCGGAUAAUAACAGAUGAUGCCUAUCAACUGUUUAAAAGAUGGUUCUGCUAUCACUCUUGGAUGGACCUGCGGUGCAUUAGCUAGUUGGUAGGGUAACGGCCUACCAAGGCGAUGAUGCAUAGCCGAGUUGAGAGACUGAUCGGCCACAUUGGGACUGAGACACGGCCCAAACUCCUACGGGAGGCAGCAGCU
This 235-nucleotide ribosomal RNA is filed under the name uncultured Lactobacillus sp. RNAcentral's name for it is "partial 16S ribosomal RNA". It matches the Rfam family "Bacterial small subunit ribosomal RNA", at positions 127 to 355 of the family's 1533-position model. Lineage: Bacteria; Bacillati; Bacillota; Bacilli; Lactobacillales; Lactobacillaceae. The record is from RNAcentral.